NNNNNNNNNNNNNNNNNNNNNNNNNNGAGAUUUAGGUCUCCCAGGCAGCGCAGUGAAUUUUAUGGUUGGGUCAGACUGUGUAGGUGAGUGCCACAUUUCCAUGAUUCAGCAGUUUCCAUGAGGUUCUGACUAGUUUGCAACGGUGUCUGAAAUUCUUACCAACAGAAUUAUUCAUUUGGGCUGAAGUAUGUGUGGGGGGAAAAAGAAGUGCAUUUGAGACAGGAGAGCAGAGCAGCCCUCAGUAAUUUAUUCAAUCAGCCGGCUCUGGAGAGCAGAGACAAGGUCUGAGAACAUGUGAGAACUGGGCUUUGUGGCAGGAAGUAGGAACGAAGCAGGGUGCAGAAAGACAAAGCCACAUACAGCCAGCAGAAGGGCACUUGGGCACCCAAUGGACAGGAUCCAGUUCUGGGUGCUGAAGAGAAGGUUUUCUGGCCAUAUCUCAGACACCCUGGCUUUCACAGGAUCCACAGAGAAAAAAUGCUGAAACACAACAGUCGUCAAGAAGUAUUGGAUUUCCUCUGCUCUGAAU
Molecule: long non-coding RNA, 529 nt
Filed under: Mustela putorius furo (domestic ferret)
Lineage: Eukaryota; Metazoa; Chordata; Mammalia; Carnivora; Mustelidae
Description: lncRNA (ENSMPUG00000026962.1)
Source: RNAcentral